GUCGAUAUUAUCGUUGUUCAGCAGCAGGAUGGGACUUUCCGCAGCACACCAUGGUAUGUUCGGUUUGGUAAAUUUCAGGGCGUUCUAAAGGGUGCUGAGAAGAUUGUCCGCAUAUCUGUAAAUGGCGUUGAAUCUAAUUUCCAUAUGUAUCUUGAUAACUCUGGUGAGGCCUAUUUCAUAAAGGAAGCAGAAACUGGUCAAGGAAAUGAGGCUGAUAGAGUUACAG
RNAcentral lists this unclassified non-coding RNA (226 nucleotides) under Hevea brasiliensis (rubber tree). The record is from RNAcentral. Lineage: Eukaryota; Viridiplantae; Streptophyta; Magnoliopsida; Malpighiales; Euphorbiaceae.